AACGUAGGAGCCUAGCGUUAUCCGAAUUCACUGGGCGUAAAGCGCGUGCAGGCGGUUCGGUAAGUUGGAUGUGAAAUCUCCUGGCUCAACUGGGAGAGGACGUUCAAGACUGUCGGACUAGAGGACGGUAGAGGAAGGUAGAAUUCCCGGUGUAGUGGUGAAAUGCGUAGAUAUCGGGAGGAAUACCAGUGGCGAAGGCGGCCUUCUGGGCCGUUCCUGACGCUCAGACGCGAAAGCUAGGGGAGCAAACGGGG
This 254-nucleotide ribosomal RNA is filed under the name uncultured bacterium. Its description in RNAcentral is "partial 16S ribosomal RNA". It matches the Rfam family "Bacterial small subunit ribosomal RNA", at positions 524 to 777 of the family's 1533-position model. The record is from RNAcentral.